GUGCCAGCAGCCGCGGUAAUACGUAGGGUGCGAGCGUUAAUCGGAAUUACUGGGCGUAAAGCGUGCGCAGGCGGUUCGACAAGUCCGAUGUGAAAGCCCCGGGCUCAACCUGGGAAUGGCAUUGGAAACUGGCGGGCUGGAGUGUGGCAGAGGGGGGUGGAAUUCCGCGUGUAGCAGUGAAAUGCGUAGAGAUGCGGAGGAACACCGAUGGCGAAGGCAGCCCCCUGGGCUGACACUGACGCUCAGGCACGAAAGCGUGGGGAGCAAACAGGAUUAGAAACCCGUGUAGUCC
RNAcentral lists this ribosomal RNA (292 nucleotides) under uncultured bacterium. RNAcentral's name for it is "partial 16S ribosomal RNA". It matches the Rfam family "Bacterial small subunit ribosomal RNA", at positions 505 to 796 of the family's 1533-position model. The record is from RNAcentral.